GACAAUCUUCAGGGACAUUCAAUAAAGUUUGACCGAUUCAGAGAAUAGUAGCAUAGCCCCUGCACAAGAAUGACAUGCACAAAUCCCAAGACAACAAAACCUGA
Small nuclear RNA from Camellia sinensis, 104 nucleotides. The record is from RefSeq and is a predicted model, not a curated record. Lineage: Eukaryota; Viridiplantae; Streptophyta; Magnoliopsida; Ericales; Theaceae.